CCCUCAAUCAUCCGAAUGUAAGAAGUAAAUGGGUGUUCCACAAACGCAACAAGUUAAGCCCAGAGAUUUGUGAUCAUAACUUAAAAAUUUUAAAUGUCGAUGCUAAGUAUGGUGGAGCCACACAUGACUCUUAUAUGGUCAUCCAGCCAAGUAGAACCAUACAUGCAUGGGCUUCAUCAAAAUGGUGAACAAACAGGCUAUUAGGUGAUUCUGGAUACCCACAAAGAGCCUGGCUAAUGAUGUCUAUCUUAAAUGCUGCACCAGGGUCACCAGAAGAGAAUUACACCAGGCGUCAUAUCCAGGCCACGAAUUGUAUUGAACGGUGUUUUGGCUUGCUGAAGACACGUUGAAGAAGUUUACUUAAGCACUGAACACUUCAUUAACAUCUCCAAGUCACCAGUAAAAUAGUAAUUGCGUGUGGUGCGCUGCAUAACAUUGCAUUGAAUGCUAAAUUACCCCCACCAGGUGAUAUGGCUGCGCAACGUGAUGAUGAGGAUCUACCUGUAGUAGCCAAG
Hyposmocoma kahamanoa is the source of this 515-nucleotide long non-coding RNA. RefSeq lists it as uncharacterized. Lineage: Eukaryota; Metazoa; Arthropoda; Insecta; Lepidoptera; Cosmopterigidae. The transcript has 3 exons. The record is from RefSeq and is a predicted model, not a curated record.